GAGGGUAUAGCUCAGUGGUAGAUGCCUAGUAUGCAUGAGGUCCUGGGUUCAAGCCCCAGUACCUCCA
This 67-nucleotide transfer RNA is filed under the name Camelus dromedarius (Arabian camel). It matches the Rfam family "tRNA". From Rfam's summary of the family: Transfer RNA (tRNA) molecules are approximately 80 nucleotides in length. Their secondary structure includes four short double-helical elements and three loops (D, anti-codon, and T loops). RNAcentral also lists the same sequence under 1 other name. The record is from Rfam by way of RNAcentral. Lineage: Eukaryota; Metazoa; Chordata; Mammalia; Artiodactyla; Camelidae.